RNAcentral lists this ribosomal RNA (253 nucleotides) under uncultured bacterium. Its description in RNAcentral is "partial 16S ribosomal RNA". It matches the Rfam family "Bacterial small subunit ribosomal RNA", at positions 524 to 776 of the family's 1533-position model. The record is from RNAcentral.
UACGGGGGGGGCAAGCGUUGUUCGGAAUUACUGGGCGUAAAGGGCUCGUAGGCGGCCAACUAAGUCGGAUGUGAAAUCCCCAGGCUCAACCUGGGAACUGCAUCCGAUACUGGAUGGCUUGAAUUCGGGAGAGGGAUGCAGAAUUCCAGGUGUAGCGGUGAAAUGCGUAGAUAUCUGGAGGAAUACCGGUGGCGAAGGCGGCAUCCUGGACCGACAUUGACGCUGAUGAGCGAAAGCUAGGGGAGCAAACGGG